Molecule: ribosomal RNA, 497 nt
Filed under: uncultured bacterium
Lineage: Bacteria
Description: partial 16S ribosomal RNA
Rfam family: Bacterial small subunit ribosomal RNA
Source: RNAcentral
GAUGAACGCUGGCGGCGUGCCUAAUACAUGCAAGUCGAGCGAACAGACGAGGAGCUUGCUCCUUUGACGUUAGCGGCGGACGGGUGAGAAACACGUGGAUAACCUACCUAUCAGACUGGGAUAACUUCGGGAAACCGGAGCUUAUACCGGAUAAUAUAUUGAACCGUAUGGUUCAAUAGUAAAAGACGGUUUUGCUGUCACUUAUAGAUGGAUCCGAGCUGCAUUAGCUAGUUGGUAAGGUAACGGCUUAUCAAGGCAACGAUGCGUAGCCGACCUGAGAGGCUGGUCGGCCACACUGGAACUGAGACACGGUCCAGGCUCCUACGAGAGGCAGCAGUAGGGAAUCGUCCGCAGUAGGCGGAAACCUGACGGAGCAACGCCGCGUGAGUUAUGAAGGUCUUCGGAUCGUAAAGCUCUGUUAUUGGGGAAAAACAAAUGUGUAAGUAACUAUGCACGUCUUGACGGUACCUAAUCAGAAAGCCACGGCUAACUACGUG